RNAcentral lists this ribosomal RNA (480 nucleotides) under uncultured bacterium. RNAcentral describes it as "partial 16S ribosomal RNA". It matches the Rfam family "Bacterial small subunit ribosomal RNA", at positions 28 to 507 of the family's 1533-position model. The record is from RNAcentral.
GACGAACGCUGGCGGCGUGCUUAACACAUGCAAGUCGAACGAUGAAGCAAAGAAUCGAAGCUUCGGCAGAAAUUCAUUUCGGAUUAGUGGCAGACGGGUGAGUAACGCGUGAGCAACCUACCUCUUACAAAGGGAUAGCCUCGGGAAACCGGGAUUAAUACCAUAUAACAUUGUGACGAAGCAUUUCGAUGCAAUCAAAGCUACGGCGGUAAGAGAUGGGCUCGCGUCCCAUUAACCGGAUGGUGAGGUAACGGCUCACCAUAGUGACGAUGGGUAACCGGCCUGAGAGGGUGAACGGUCACACUGGAACUGAGACACGGUCCAGACUCCUACGGGAGGCAGCAGUGGGGAAUAUUGCACAAUGGAGGGAACUCUGAUGCAGCGACGCCGCGUGAGUGAUGAAGGAAUUCGUUUCGUAAAACUCUGUUCUAUGGGAAGAAAAGGACUGUACCAUAGGAGAAAGCUCCGGCUAAAUACGUG